UUCACUCAAAUUUGUAUGGAUUUGUGAUAGCUUCCCUUCGUUUGCCGCUAGGGGCGCUGUUCCAACUCCAUACAAAUUUGAGUUA
RNAcentral lists this microRNA precursor (85 nucleotides) under Bombyx mori (domestic silkworm). RNAcentral's name for it is "mir-2807 microRNA precursor family". It matches the Rfam family "mir-2807 microRNA precursor family". The record is from Rfam by way of RNAcentral. Lineage: Eukaryota; Metazoa; Arthropoda; Insecta; Lepidoptera; Bombycidae.